AAUGUCGUAACAAGGUCUCCGUAGGUGAACCUGCGGAGGGAUCAUUACUGAGAUAGGGUUCUCACGAGCCCGACCUCCAAACCCUUUGUUUACAAAUCCACUGGUUUGCCUCGGCGGGUCCGCCGGCGCCCUUUUACUGGGCGCCGCCGCGGCCUCUGCUCUCGAGCCCGCGCAGGACCAACAAAAUCUCCUUACACAGCAUGUCUGAGUGGAUAUUUCAAUGCUUCAAAAAAAUC
RNAcentral lists this unclassified non-coding RNA (236 nucleotides) under plant metagenome. Its description in RNAcentral is "partial contains small subunit ribosomal RNA and internal transcribed spacer 1". The stretch from base 1 to 47 matches the Rfam family "Eukaryotic small subunit ribosomal RNA", at positions 1785 to 1831 of the family's 1831-position model. The record is from RNAcentral.